This 787-nucleotide ribosomal RNA is filed under the name uncultured bacterium. RNAcentral's name for it is "bacterial SSU rRNA". It matches the Rfam family "Bacterial small subunit ribosomal RNA", at positions 10 to 794 of the family's 1533-position model. The record is from RNAcentral.
AGUUUGAUCAUGGCUCAGAUUGAACGCUGGCGGCAUGCCUUACACAUGCAAGUCGAACGGUAACAGGUCUUCGGAUGCUGACGAGUGGCGAACGGGUGAGUAAUACAUCGGAACGUGCCCGAUCGUGGGGGAUAACGAGGCGAAAGCUUUGCUAAUACCGCAUACGAUCUACGGAUGAAAGCGGGGGAUCUUCGGACCUCGCGCGGACGGAGCGGCCGAUGGCAGAUUAGGUAGUUGGUGGGAUAAAAGCUUACCAAGCCGACGAUCUGUAGCUGGUCUGAGAGGAUGAUCAGCCACACUGGGACUGAGACACGGCCCAGACUCCUACGGGAGGCAGCAGUGGGGAAUUUUGGACAAUGGGCGAAAGCCUGAUCCAGCCAUGCCGCGUGCAGGAUGAAGGCCUUCGGGUUGUAAACUGCUUUUGUACGGAACGAAAAGCCUCUUUCUAAUAAAGAGGGGUCAUGACGGUACCGUAAGAAUAAGCACCGGCUAACUACGUGCCAGCAGCCGCGGUAAUACGUAGGGUGCAAGCGUUAAUCGGAAUUACUGGGCGUAAAGCGUGCGCAGGCGGUUUUGUAAGACAGAGGUGAAAUCCCCGGGCUCAACCUGGGAACUGCCUUUGUGACUGCAAGGCUGGAGUGCGGCAGAGGGGGAUGGAAUUCCGCGUGUAGCAGUGAAAUGCGUAGAUAUGCGGAGGAACACCGAUGGCGAAGGCAAUCCCCUGGGCCUGCACUGACGCUCAUGCACGAAAGCGUGGGGAGCAAACAGGAUUAGAUACCCCGGUAGU